RNAcentral lists this ribosomal RNA (430 nucleotides) under uncultured bacterium. Its description in RNAcentral is "bacterial SSU rRNA". It matches the Rfam family "Bacterial small subunit ribosomal RNA", at positions 355 to 801 of the family's 1533-position model. The record is from RNAcentral.
UGGGGAAUAUUGGACAAUGGGCGCAAGCCUGAUCCAGCCAUGCCGCGUGAGUGACGAAGGUCUUCGGAUUGUAAAGCUCUUUUUGGCGGGGACGAUAAUGACGGUACCCGCAGAAUAAGCCCCGGCUAACUUCGUGCCAGCAGCCGCGGUAAUACGAAGGGGGCUAGCGUUGUUCGGAAUUACUGGGCGUAAAGCGCACGUAGGCGGAUUUGUAAGUCAGGGGUGAAAUCCCGGGGCUCAACCUCGGAACUGCCUCUGAUACUGCGGAUCUCGAGUCCGGAAGAGGUGAGUGGAAUUCCUAGUGUAGAGGUGAAAUUCGUAGAUAUUAGGAAGAACACCAGUGGCGAAGGCGGCUCACUGGUCCGGUUCUGACGCUGAGGUGCGAAAGCGUGGGGAGCAAACAGGAUUAGAUACCCAAGUAGUCCCUGAG